This 253-nucleotide ribosomal RNA is filed under the name uncultured bacterium. RNAcentral's name for it is "partial 16S ribosomal RNA". It matches the Rfam family "Bacterial small subunit ribosomal RNA", at positions 524 to 776 of the family's 1533-position model. The record is from RNAcentral.
UACGUAGGGUGCAAGCGUUGUCCGGAAUUAUUGGGCGUAAAGAGCUCGUAGGCGGUCUGUCACGUCGUCUGUGAAAACCCGAGGCUCAACCUCGGGCCUGCAGUCGAUACGGGCAAACUAGAGUACUGCAGGGGAGACUGGAAUUCCUGGUGUAGCGGUGAAAUGCGCAGAUAUCAGGAGGAACACCGGUGGCGAAGGCGGGUCUCUGGGCAGUAACUGACGCUGAGGAGCGAAAGCGUGGGGAGCGAACAGG